UUUUGUAAGAUGGGAAGGAAAAAUUUACAUGACUUUAUUCGAGCGUAGGAAAAAAAGAAAUUGAUUGAAUUGGACGAUAAGGAUAAAUGGGUAAAUCAAUAGUCGGCUCCAAAACAAUGAGCAAAGAGAUGUGGGUGAGGUCUGAAUUUAAACCAAAAUCAGAAAAAAGAUUGAAUGAAAAAAGGUCGACGAAAACAUAAAGAGGUGCAAAAAAAAAAAAAAGAAGAAGAAGAAAACAUAAAGGAAUAAUAUGGUGGACAAAUCGACAGUUGGGGAGAUGGGAGUGGGAUUAAUGAUGAUCAAUGUGAACUC
This 312-nucleotide long non-coding RNA is filed under the name Salvia miltiorrhiza (redroot sage). Its description in RNAcentral is "long non-coding RNA (SMIL_LNC009761)". Lineage: Eukaryota; Viridiplantae; Streptophyta; Magnoliopsida; Lamiales; Lamiaceae. The record is from RNAcentral.